This 223-nucleotide unclassified non-coding RNA is filed under the name Hevea brasiliensis (rubber tree). The record is from RNAcentral. Lineage: Eukaryota; Viridiplantae; Streptophyta; Magnoliopsida; Malpighiales; Euphorbiaceae.
GAAAAGAAAAAAUCAAAAAAUAAAGAAAUAUUAUUGUUGUCUAAUAUAGAAAAUAAUCUAAGUAAUUGGAAGUUAUCUCCCAUCUCUUCUAAUCUUAUCUAUAAAUCUAAUACCAGUUUUCGGUUUAAAUCUGAUUAUGUAGUAAAAACUGUAGAACAAGUCUCUCCUAUCCAUGAAGGAUUACAUUCCAAUAUAGGAAUGUGAUUAUGUUUUCUGAAUUUCG